GACGGGGGAUGCAAGUGUUAUCCGGAAUAAUUGGCGUAAAAGCGUCUGUAGGUGGUUUACCAAGUCUGUUGUUAAAAAUCAGGCUUAACCCUGAUCCGGCAACAGAAACUAGUAGGCUGGAGUACGGUAGGGGCAGAGGGAAUUCUCGGUGUAGUGGUGAAAUACGUAGAUAUCGAGAAGAACACCAAUAGCGAAAAGCACUCUGCCUGGGCCGAAAACUGACAUUG
Molecule: ribosomal RNA, 227 nt
Filed under: uncultured bacterium
Lineage: Bacteria
Description: partial 16S ribosomal RNA
Rfam family: Bacterial small subunit ribosomal RNA
Source: RNAcentral